This 497-nucleotide ribosomal RNA is filed under the name uncultured bacterium. Its description in RNAcentral is "partial 16S ribosomal RNA". It matches the Rfam family "Bacterial small subunit ribosomal RNA", at positions 28 to 507 of the family's 1533-position model. The record is from RNAcentral.
GACGAACGCUGGCGGCGUGCCUAAUACAUGCAAGUUGAGCGCUGAAGGUUGGUACUUGUACCAACUGGAUGAGCAGCGAACGGGUGAGUAACGCGUGGGGAAUCUUCCUUUGAGCGGGGGACAACAUUUGGAAACGAAUGCUAAUACCGCAUAAAAACUUUAAACACAAGUUUUAAGUUUGAAAGAUGCAAUUGCAUCACUCAAAGAUGAUCCCGCGUUGUAUUAGCUAGUUGGUGAGGUAAAGGCUCACCAAGGCGAUGAUACAUAGCCGACCUGAGAGGGUGAUCGGCCAAAUUGGGACUGAGACACGGCCCAAAAUCCUACGGGAGGCAGCAGUAGGGAAUCUUCGGCAAAGGACGAAAGGCCGACCGAGCAACGCCGCGGGAGGGAAGAAGGUAGUCGGGUCGGAAAACUCUGUUGGUAGAGAAGAACGUUGGUGAGAGUGGAAAGCUCAUCAAGUGACGGUAACUACAGAGAAAGGGACGGCUAACUACGUG